AAAAAGAAAGCCGUGAAUUUUUGCUAUUAUCACCUCCUCUACUUAAUGCUCUGAGCCUUGUUCUUCUGUCACCUUACUGCGUCUGUUUAGACACUUCUUCUAGCAAUUGCUAUGUUUAUUUGCAUUUUCUGUUCUGUCUUGUAUGCUUCUAGUCCUUGUUUCACAAAUGUAAAAUGUGCCAGACCCAAUAUUUUCCUUAAAUAGGUUUUAUUUAGCUACCUAAAUAAUAGGUCAGACUUCUAGGAAAAACUCCCGCGCUUGCUCUCCAUUUCAUAACGAUGACAGACUUCAGUUUAUGAGCCACAGUUUUUAUACUUGUGCCAUUGCUGAUAGAUUUGGAAGUGUGAAAGCAGUAAAGCUUUAAAUUGUGUAAGCCAGUAAGUAAUCUUGUGGAUUUUAAGUCUUAAAGCAGUAAAUAAAAUGUUCUGUUCAGAAGACUAUGUUAAUAUCUGCCCAUCCUGUUUGCACUUGGAUAAUUUUGCUGUAUGACAGUGUAUGUUGAAACUUGUAAACUAAGGCUGCUACAUCAGCAUCAGUUCUCUUCAGAGCAGGAGAGGAAUUUCACAAAUGUUCCAUACAAUUGAUAGCAAGGGAUUGCAGCUAAUGGGAAUUUAUAUCUACAUAUGCAUCUAUACCUAUUUAUCUAUCUAAAUAAAAUAGUCUUACGGUAGUAAAAUAAUGAUUAA
Oxyura jamaicensis (ruddy duck) is the source of this 686-nucleotide long non-coding RNA. RefSeq lists it as uncharacterized. The record is from RefSeq and is a predicted model, not a curated record. NCBI's taxonomy places the organism in Eukaryota, Metazoa, Chordata, Aves, Anseriformes, Anatidae. The transcript is spliced from 2 exons.